Molecule: ribosomal RNA, 497 nt
Filed under: uncultured bacterium
Lineage: Bacteria
Description: partial 16S ribosomal RNA
Rfam family: Bacterial small subunit ribosomal RNA
Source: RNAcentral
GAUGAACGCUGGCGGCGUGCCUAAUACAUGCAAGUCGAGCGAACGGACGAGAAGCUUGCUUCUCUGAUGUUAGCGGCGGACGGGUGAGUAACACGUGGAUAACCUACCUAUAAGACUGGGAUAACUUCGGGAAACCGGAGCUAAUACCGGAUAAUAUUUUGAACCGCAUGGUUCAAAAGUGAAAGACGGUCUUGCUGUCACUUAUAGAUGGAUUCGCGCUGCAUUAGCUAGUUGGUAAGGUAACGGCUUACCAAGGCAACGAUGCAUAGCCGACCUGAGAGGGUGAUCGGCAACACUGGAACUGAGACACGGUCCAGACUCCUACGGGAGGCAGCAGUAGGGAAUCUUCCGCAAUGGGCGAAAGCCUGACGGAGCAACGCCGCGUGAGUGAUGAAGGUCUUCGGAUCGUAAAACUCUGUUAUUAGGGAAGAACAUAUGUGUAAGUAACUGUGCACAUCUUGACGGUACCUAAUCAGAAAGCCACGGCUAACUACGUG